This 1361-nucleotide ribosomal RNA is filed under the name human oral metagenome. RNAcentral describes it as "bacterial LSU rRNA". It matches the Rfam family "Bacterial large subunit ribosomal RNA", at positions 1105 to 2487 of the family's 2925-position model. The record is from RNAcentral.
CUUGGAAGCAGCCAUUCAUUUAAAGAGUGCGUAACAGCUCACUAGUCGAGCGGUUUGGCGUGGAUAAUAAUCGGGCAUAAGCUAUUUACCGAAGCUGUGGAAUAUAAUAUAUUGGUAGGGGGGCAUUCCAUAUUCGUCGAAGAUAGAGGGUUACCUUUAUUGGAGGGUAUGGAAAAGCAAAUGUAGGUAUAAGUAACGAUAAGGAGGGCGCGAACCCCUCCCGCCGGAAGACUGAGGAUUCCUGAACAACGUUAAUCGGUUCAGGGUUAGUCGGGACCUAAGGAGAAGCCGAAAGGCGCAUCUGAUGGAAGAACAGGUUAAUAAUCCUGUACUGGCGUAUGGAGCGAAGUGGGGACGGAGAAGUGAAAGUCCUGCGUACUGACGGAAUAGUACGUUGAAGGGUGUAGGUGUAGAUAUUCGUAGGCAAAUCCGCGGAUAGAGCCGAACCUGAAAGUACCGAGCGUCUUCGGACAAUCGGAUAUGGAUGUAAUCAGACUCCCUAGAAAAACCGCUAAGCAUAUUCAUACGGCACCCGUACCAUAAACGGACACACGUGGUCAAGUAUAAAGUAUUAAGGCGCUCGAGUGAUCCGCGGCUAAGGAACUAGGCAAAAUAGUCCUGUAACUUCGGAAAAAGGGACACCUACCCAGUGAUGGGAGGUCGCAGAAGAAUGGCCCAGGCGACUGUUUAACAAAAACAUAGGGCUUUGCCAAAUCGCAAGAUGAAGUAUAAGGCCUGACACCUGCCCGGUGCUGGAAGGUUAAGAGGAGAUGUCAUCGCAAGAGAAGCAUUGAAUUGAAGCCCCAGUAAACGGCGGCCGUAACUAUAACGGUCCUAAGGUAGCGAAAUUCCUUGUCGGGUAAGUUCCGACCUGCACGAAUGGUGUAACGAUCUGGGCACUGUCUCAGCCGCGAGCUCGGUGAAAUUGUAGUAUCGGUGAAGAUGCCGAUUACCCGCAACGGGACGAAAAGACCCCGUGAACCUUUACUGCAACUUAACAUUGAAUUUGGGUAAUUGAUGUGUAGGAUAGGCCGGAGGCUGUGAAGCAGGUACGCCAGUAUUUGUGGAGCCGUUGUUGAAAUACGGUCCUUCAGUUAUUUGAGUUCUAACCCGUGGAUAUGGGGACACUGUUUGGUGGGUAGUUUGACUGGGGUGGUCGCCUCCAAAAGAGUAACGGAGGCUUCCAAAGGUACCCUCAGGCCGAUUGGUAACCGGUCGCAGAGUGUAAUGGUAUAAGGGUGCUUGACUGCGAGACAAACAAGUCGAACAGGUAGGAAACUAGGGCAUAGUGAUCCGGUGGUUCCGCAUGGAAGGGCCAUCGCUCAAAGGAUAAAAGGUACUCCGGGGAUAACAGGCUGAUC